Molecule: ribosomal RNA, 1983 nt
Filed under: Triticum aestivum (bread wheat)
Lineage: Eukaryota; Viridiplantae; Streptophyta; Magnoliopsida; Poales; Poaceae
Description: partial small subunit ribosomal RNA
Source: RNAcentral
AUGGCGCCCCCUCUCUCCUCCUGGCCAUGGGCGAGCCUGGGCAUAUACAAGGCACGCACCGAGCACCUCCUUUUUUCUCAUCCUCACCGUCUCAUGUUUUCCUCGUUGACUGACAUCUUCGUUGUGCUGCAUGAUCGGUGGUCGACGGACGGACGCGCGCAGUACUUCCUGCUGGGCCCGCUCGUGUGGAAGGUGGCGCAGGAGUGGGCGGAGCAGGGCGGCGCGCCGCUGGGCUCGCGGUGGCUGCACCUGCUGCUGCUCUUCUCCGCCCGCGGGCUGACGUACCAGUUCUGGUUCUCCUACAGCAACAUGCUCUUCCUCACCCGCCGCCGCCGUGUCGUCCCCGACGGCGUCGACUUCCGCCAGGUCGACCACGAGUGGGACUGGGAUAACUUCCUGGUGUUGCAAACGCUGAUUGGUGCGGCGCUGGUCAACGGCCCGCUGCCCCUCCCGGGACUGGAGGAUCUCCGCGUGUGGGACCCGCGGGGGCUGGGCAUCGCGCUGCUGCUGCAUGUGGGCUUCUCAGAGCCCGUGUUCUACUGGGCCCACCGGGCCCUUCACGGGACCCCGCUCUUCGGCCAGUACCACGCCGGGCACCACUCCACGGCGGUGACCCAGCCAUUGACAGCUGGAUUCGGCACGCCGUUGGAGGCCCUGCUGCUGACGCUGACGAUGGGGGUCCCGUUGGCAGGGGCCUUCCUGAUGGGGGCUGGGUCCCUGGGCCUGGUCUACGUGCACCUCCUCACGUUCGACUAUCUUCGGAGCAUGGGGUACAGCAACGUGGAGGUCAUCUCUCACAGGGUCUUCGAGGCUGUUCCUCCGCUCAGAUACCUCAUCUACACCCCGACGUAUCUGAGCCUGCACCACAGGGAGAAGGACUCCAAUUUCUGCCUGUUCAUGCCGCUCUUCGACCUCCUGGGCGGCACCCUAAACUCCAAGUCAUGGGAGCUGCAGAAGGAGAUCUACAAGGGGAAGAAUGAUCGGGUGCCGGAGUUCGUGUUCCUGGUGCACGUGGUGGACAUCAUGUCGUCGAUGCACGUCCCGUUCGUGCUGCGCUCCAUCUCCUCGGUGCCGUUCGAGAACCACCUCAUCCUGCUCCCCUUCUGGCCCGUGGCCUUGGUCUACGGGAUGCUCAUGUGGUGCUGCUCCAAGACCUUCCUCGUCAGCUUCUACUACCUCCGCGGCCGCCUCCACCAGACCUGGAGCGUGCCCCGCCACGGCUUCCAGUACUUCAUCCCGGCCGCCAAGGCCGGCAUCAACCGCCAGAUCGAGCUCGCCAUCCUCCGCGCAGACAGGAUGGGCGUCAAGGUCCUCAGCCUCGCCGCCCUCAACAAGAACGAGGCAUUGAAUGGAGGUGGCACCCUAUUCGUGGACAAGCACCCUGACCUGAGGGUGAGGGUGGUGCACGGCAACACCCUCACGGCCGCCGUGAUCCUGAACGAGAUCCCCAGCAACACCAAGGAGGUGUUCCUCACCGGCGCCACGUCCAAGCUCGGCAGGGCCAUCGCCCUCUACCUCUGCCGGAAAAGGAUCAGAGUCAUGAUGCUGACAAUGUCGUCGGAGAGGUUCCUGAAGAUCCAGAGGGAGGCGCCGGCGGAGUUCCAGCAGUACCUCGUGCAGGUCACCAAGUACCAGGCCGCGCAGAACUGCAAGACGUGGAUCGUGGGCAAGUGGCUGUCGCCGAGGGAGCAGCGGUGGGCGCCGCCGGGGACGCACUUCCACCAGUUCGCCGUGCCACCCAUCAUCGGCUUCCGCCGCGACUGCACCUACGGCAAGCUCGCCGCCAUGAGGCUCCCCAAGGACGUGCAGGGCCUCGGCUCCUGCGAGUACACUAUGGAGCGAGGGGUGGUGCACGCGUGCCACGCCGGCGGAGUGGUGCACUUCCUGGAGGGGUGGGAGCACCACGAGGUGGGCGCGCUCGACGUCGACCGGAUCGACGUCGUGUGGAAGGCGGCGCUCAAGCACGGGCUGACGCCGGUGUGA